UACUGUGCGAGGAUGAAGAGAGUACCUGUACCCCUUCCAGUUAGGGAAAAAAAGCCAUGGACUGAAAGCUUUUUAUGGAAAGAUACAGCGAAGUUCACUUUGGAGCAUCAGAGGGGAAAUCCAGUAGUCUCUGACGGGUAAACCGAUACAUUUAACUGAGCGGACAGAAGAAUUCUGUCAAUCAGGGUGGUACCACGGAAGUAUUCCGUCCCUAUU
Molecule: non-coding RNA, 216 nt
Filed under: Proteiniclasticum ruminis
Lineage: Bacteria; Bacillati; Bacillota; Clostridia; Eubacteriales; Clostridiaceae
Description: T-box sequence
Rfam family: T-box leader
About the family: Uncharged tRNA acts as the effector for transcription antitermination of genes in the T-box leader family. T-boxes are found upstream of many aminoacyl-tRNA synthetase genes and some amino acid biosynthetic genes usually in Gram-positive bacteria. The anticodon of a specific tRNA base pairs to a specifier sequence within the T-box motif, and the NCCA acceptor tail of the tRNA base pairs to a conserved bulge in the T-box antiterminator hairpin.
Source: RNAcentral